RNAcentral lists this ribosomal RNA (776 nucleotides) under uncultured bacterium. Its description in RNAcentral is "bacterial SSU rRNA". It matches the Rfam family "Bacterial small subunit ribosomal RNA", at positions 62 to 823 of the family's 1533-position model. The record is from RNAcentral.
UCGAGGGGCAUCGGGGCGAGGAGCAAUCCUUGCCGCCGGCGACCGGCGCAUGGGUGAGUAACGCGUAUGCGACCUGCCCGUUGCAGGGGGAUAAUCGGGAGAAAUCCCGUCUAAUACCGCGUAACGCCGCGGGGCUGCAUGGCCCUGCGGCCAAAGGAAGCGAUUCCGGCAACGGAUGGGCAUGCGUGACAUUAGCUAGUUGGCGGGGCAACGGCCCACCAAGGCGACGAUGUCUAGGGGUUCUGAGAGGAAGGUCCCCCACACUGGUACUGAGACACGGACCAGACUCCUACGGGAGGCAGCAGUGAGGAAUAUUGGUCAAUGGGCGCGAGCCUGAACCAGCCAAGUCGCGUGAGGGAUGACGGCCCUACGGGUUGUAAACCUCUUUUGUCGGGGAGCAAAUUCCGCCACGCGUGGCGGAGUCGAGAGUACCCGAAGAAAAAGCAUCGGCUAACUCCGUGCCAGCAGCCGCGGUAAUACGGAGGAUGCGAGCGUUAUCCGGAUUUAUUGGGUUUAAAGGGUGCGUAGGCGGACUGUCAAGUCAGCGGUAAAAUACGGGGGCUCAACCUCCGCCCGCCGUUGAAACUGACGGUCUUGAGUGGGCGAGAAGUAUGCGGAAUGCGUGGUGUAGCGGUGAAAUGCAUAGAUAUCACGCAGAACUCCGAUUGCGAAGGCAGCAUACCGGCGCCCAACUGACGCUGAAGCACGAAAGCGUGGGUAUCGAACAGGAUUAGAUACCCUGGUAGUCCACGCAGUAAACGAUGAAUACUAGCUGU